AGCGGCCCCGGCACGGUCCUGUGCCGCCGCCUCCGUCGCGGCCAGGGUCGCCGCGGGCAUGGUGAGGGCGGUACCGAAUCCGACCGCUGCCA
This 92-nucleotide transfer RNA is filed under the name Streptomyces sulfonofaciens. RNAcentral describes it as "tRNA-Arg". The record is from RNAcentral. Lineage: Bacteria; Bacillati; Actinomycetota; Actinomycetes; Kitasatosporales; Streptomycetaceae.